GAUGAACGCUGGCGGCGUGCCUAAUACAUGCAAGUCGAGCGAACAGACGAGGAGCUUGCUCCUCUGACGUGAGCGGCGGACGGGUGAGUAACACGUGGAUAACCUACCUAUAAGACUGGGAUAACUUCGGGAAACCGGGUCUAAUACCGGAUAAUAUAUUGAACGGCAUGGUUCAAUAGUGAAAGACGGUUUUGCUGUCACUUAUAGAUGGAUCCGCGCCGCAUUAGCUAGUUGGUAAGGUAACGGCUUACCAAGGCAACGAUGCGUAGCCGACCUGAGAGGGUGAUCGGCCACACUGGAACUGAGACACGGUCCAGACUCCUACGGGAGGCAGCAGUAGGGAAUCUUCCGCAAUGGGCGAAAGCCUGACGGAGCCACGCCGCGUGAGUGAUGAAGGUCUUCGGAUCGUAAAACUCUGUUAUUAGGGAAGAACAAAUGUGUAAGUAACUCUGCACGUCUUGACGGUACCUAAUCAGAAAGCCCCGGCUAACUACGUG
Molecule: ribosomal RNA, 497 nt
Filed under: uncultured bacterium
Lineage: Bacteria
Description: partial 16S ribosomal RNA
Rfam family: Bacterial small subunit ribosomal RNA
Source: RNAcentral